UGGUGGGCCCCCUCCGGUAGUUCUUUCGCUCAGUAUUUUUUAUAUAUUCCAGAAAAAAUUCACGUAACUUUUCAGGGCAUUUGGAGAUGUGCAGAAUAGUGGACUAGGAUUUGCUCCUUUUCUAGUCCAGAAUUCCAGCUGCCUGAAUUCUCCCUCUUCAAAUAAACCUUGCAAAAUAAGAGAGAAAAGGCAUAAAUAUGGUACCACAAGUAAUAUAACAGCCCAAAAAGCAAUAAAUAUCAACAUGAAAGCAUGAUGCAAAAUGGACGUAUCAAGCCACCCUUUUCACUAGUGAGGACAAGAUCCGCUACUACUAUAUCCUUAAGAUGUUUCCUUUCUCUCUAAAGGAUGAUGCUAAAGCCUGAUUCACUUCUCUUGCUCCUGGAUGUGUGAGUAGUCCCCAGGAUAUGGUCUAUUACUUCUGUGAGAAAUAUUUCCCUGCCCAUAAGAGGCAAGCUGCCUUGCAGGAAAUAUACAACUUUUCUCAACUCAAAGAGGAGAGUCCCACAAGCUUGGGGGAGGCUCAUCCAGCUACAGAAUGCUUUGCCUGAUCACCCUCUUAAGAAGAACGAGAUACUUGAUAUCUUCUAUAACGGACUUACCGAUGCUUCUAGAGACCACCUAGAUAGUUGUGUCGGUUGUGUUUUUUGGGAACGAACUAUAGAACAAGCUGAGAUUCUACUGAAUAACAUCUUGAUCAACGAUAAUGCUUGGACUAUCCCCGAACCACCUCCUAAGCCAACUCCUAAGAAAAGAGGUAUUAUAUUCCUAAGUCCCGAAAAUAUGCAAGAAGACAAGAAAUCUAUGCAAGAGAAAGGCAUUAGAUCUGAAGAAGUCAAAAAUCUACCGCUUAUCGAAGAGAUCCAUGGUCUCGAUAACCCGAUACAAGUAGUAGAGGUAAAUUCUCUGUGUAGGUUUGAUGAGAGUGAUAUUCCUUUUGAUAAACCUGCUAGCCUAUGGUUUGAUGAAUUUGACAACUUUGUUGCCAAACAACAGAGUUUCAAUGAUUAUGUUAGCAGACAAUUGGAACAAAGCACUCGUAUGCUUUGUCAUUUAAGUGCUUGUGUAGACAGAAAUGUCAAUGAUCUGAAGCUUCUGAGUAAACAUGUCUCUAUGAUUGCUACUCAGGUAGAACAAGGACUUAAAGCUCAGAAUGACUUGCUCAAUGAAUUAAAUGACAACUCUGUCAGAGUCAUUACUAGAGGAGGCAAAAUGACUCAGGAACCUUUGUAUCCUGAAGGCCAUCCUAAGAGAAUUGAUCAAGAUUCUCAAGGAAUUAAUGCUGAAACACCCAGUCAUCCUAAGAAUAAGAAGAAGGAUGAUAGAAACCUACAUGUCAGUUCACCAAAUACUGUCACACCUGAAGAACCAAAUGAUAUUUCUGUGUCUGAUGCAGAAACACAAUCUGGUGAUGAACAUGAACCUGGUGACAAUAUGGACAGUGAUGUUCAUAAUAAUGCUCAACCUAGCAAUGGUGAGGAUGAGGAGAUUGAACCUACGGUUAAUCCUGAUAACCCACAACCUAAGAGAUACGAUAAGAAUGACUUCACUGCUAGGAAGCAUGGUAAAGAAAGGGAGCCAUGGGUUCAGAGACCUAUGCCCUUUCCUCCUAAUCCAUCCAAGAAAAAGGAUGAUCAGGAUUUUGAGCGCUUUAUUGAAAUGAUAAGACCCGUCUUUCUGCAGAUGCGGUUAAUUGAUAUGCUCAAAAUGUCUCCAUAUCCCAAGUACAUGAAAGAUAUCGUGACCAAUAAACGGAAGAUACCAGAUCUUGAGAUCUCCACCAUGCUCGCUAAUUACACCUUCAAAUGUGGAACUCCUAAGAAACUUGGUGAUCCCGGAGUGCCCACUAUACAUUGCUCCAUUAAAGGAAACUACGUAAGAACUGCCUUAUGUGACCUUGGAGCCGGUGUUAGUGUUAUGCCCCUCUCUCUUUAUCGUAGACUUGAACUGGAUAAGUUGACACCCACUGAAAUCUCUUUCCAAAUGGCCGACAAAUCAACUGCUUUCCUUGUCGGAGUUUGCGAGGAUGUGCCUGUUGUGGUUGCUAACACCACUAUCUUAACAGACUUUGUUAUCUUGGAUAUUCCCAAGGACGAUGCCAUGGCUGUCAUCCUCGGAAGACCCUUCUUAAACACGGCAGGGGCUGUUAUAGAUUGCAACAAAGGCAAUGUCAACGGUAAUGAGCAUACAGUGCACUUUUCAAAGAAACGAUAUCAAAUACAUUGCAUCAAUGCUAUCGAAAAAAAUCAUCGAUUCUUAUUGGGAGCUUUGAAUGACCUAUUCCUCGUGUUAAGAUGAAGUAUGAUUUGCUUGUUGGGGGGAUACAUAUCCCCAUUGAGGUGACCUAGUGACUAUUCAAAAAUUCCCCGUUCUCUUUUGCGAUUCAGAAAAGUUUUGUCAUGAGGAUUUGAACAACCCCAUUGACGGAUUUCUUUCGAUGACCACGAAAUGGAUGAAUCAAAGAGUCACAUACCUCUGUUUUAAGCUUUCACUUUAUGUUGCUUAGAAGAAAAUAGUACCCCAAAAAUAAAAGUUCUCCGAUGGUCCUGAAAAUCUAGUAUGAUUUUUUCUGGAAUAUUUGAAAAAUAUUGGGACUCAGAGCUGGCCUGGGCCCACACCAGUGGGCCACAAGCCCUGUCACCGCGACCUCCCCCCUGGCCGCGGGGACCAAGCUUGUGGGGCCCACAGGGACCCCCUCCACUCAUUCCAUCUCCCAUCCUCUUCUUCUACCUCUAGAAAAAAUCGUUUCGCAGCUCAAACCUGUGUUCUUGCUCAUUUGGCUGUGAUUUUUGAUCUCCUUGCUCAAAGCACCAUUCUCCGAACCGUUUUGGGGAAAUUACUCCUUGGUAAGUGACUGCUCCAUUGGUCCAAUUAGUUUCUACUCUAGUGCUUUAUCCUUCGCGUAUUCUAGCUACCUUGGUGACCCUGUUCUUGAGCUUAAAUGUUGAUUUUAGCUGGUCCCAAGUAGUUUUAGCGCGUGAUACGGUCUCUAGGCACUAGUAGGAGUAGUUGCUACAAGGUGUGGUUGGUCUUUAUUCCUUUUCUCUUGAACUCCAAAAAUUUCAGCAAAAAGAAAUUAUGUUCAGGAGGAAGUUUCAUGGUGGUUCCUCAAUUAAGAAGGGUCCCCGUCUUUCUAUUCGGGAGCCCGAUCCUUAUCAACUAAGGGAUGCACCGGUACAACCAUGUGAAUGGCCUUCCGAUGAGUUCAUGAUCAAAGAAGGCUUCAAGGAUGAGUUUGAUACACUUGUCCGCAAUGCCGGGUCAGAAGAAUUCCUCUCAGAUAAAUGUGAACAGUAUGCUUUGCUCACUGCCUCUUUCGUGCGUAGAUUUAAAUUUUCAGUUGGAUUUGGAGGAUUUCAAUAGGAUUUCCAAGAUACCCUAUGGGGGUAAUCUUAAAGAUCCUACUAAGACUUCGGUUAGAGAUUUUGUCUCUAGUAUAACUGUUGGAGAAACUAGAGACAUCACGCAAGCUACCAUAGGAGGCAUUCAUUUCCCUGCCUCGCACUACUUUUCCCUCUUCAUUGGUAGAUGCAUUAACGACAAGCUUGAACAUUGUCACCUAUGCACAUCCGACCUUAGUAUCCUUAAGAGCGCAGUGACGGGUGACAAAAGCUUCAACAUGGGAGCCAUUAUAGCAAGGAGGCUGAAUAAGAAUGCUAUUGAUGGGGAUUUCUUUGGCGGCAUCUAUGCCACUCGCAUAGCAAAUUUUCUUGGAGUACCCAUCCGUGCAGGAGAUCCCCCGCUCCAUACAGUUUCCUUGACCGCGUCGCUAUGACACGCUACCAGUUCCUUGAGAUUAACCGGCAGCGUGUUUUCCAUAUUACCCUUCCUGUUCCUACUUUCUUUGACUUUCAGGUAAAACGGAGAUACUACAUAACCAUAGGAGAGGCACAGGAGUUUGAGAGGGAGGCGACGGCUGCUCAUCUCCGUGAGGCAGCUAUUCAGGCAGUGGCUGCAGCGCUCCCGUAUAACCCCGAUUAUGAUUUUUGGUUUCGCCAGGACCGUCCUUGGGAGUAGACCAAGCUAGGCCAAAAGCCUAAGCUUGGGGGAGUACGUGUUUGCACCAACUUUACAUUCAUGCUUAUGCUUUCACUUUGUUAGCCGGUGUUUACACUUUUCCACUGCAUUAUCCAUGCUAGUUUAUUUUCAUCUUCUUGUUUUCUUGUUUUGUGUCCUUUUGAGAAAACCCAAAAAGAUUUUCCUUUCUUCUUUUGCUUGUUGGGAGAUUUCCCGUAUAAAUAGUUUUCUUUUUCUUUGUGUCAAGGUAGAAGAUAUUGGUUACAAUGUUUAGUGGCUCUUNNNNNNNNNNNNNNNNNNNNNNNNNNNNNNNNNNNNNNNNNNNNNNNNNNNNNNNNNNNNNNNNNNNNNNNNNNNNNNNNNNNNNNNNNNNNNNNNNNNNGCCGGGUCAUACGGCCAUGCUGGUCAGGGUGAUGUCGGUGUGCGGUUACCGCUGGUACCCCGAGUACACAGUGGAGGAACAGUACCGAGACUUCAACCAGAGCCAGUACAUCUGCACUGUUAGGGUAUUUCCAGACUACCCUGGAGCUGAGAAGCCAAUCCAUUGGUCCUAUGGGUUGGGGUCACCGUUGACAUGGCAGUACAGGAUGCUGCCUAUUCAAUGCUGACCAUUAUGAGAGUGAGACAUGCACUGCUGCAAAAUUCAGAGUUCUUCUAUGUUCCGGCUUCUCAGCCUGGUGAAGAGGGAUACCUCAGUGGAGUCUAUUUUGAUUCUUCUAUGGAGGAUCCACUACUGCAGUCCACUAUUGAGAUGCUAGAGAACACAGACAGGGAUGCUCGUGCUCUCCGCAUGGAGCUUUAUGCUACCCGUGCCCGUCUGUGGACGGCUUUGACGCAGCUGGCACCGGUAGUCCAGACAGGGUAUGGAGAGAUGGAGAUGUUGAACCCUGUUAGGACCCAUCUUCUGGCUCACGUUGACUGGCCAGCUAUAGGAGGAGUCACACCUCUUCGGGGACCCCUCUUACCACCAGUCAGAGGACCAAGGCCACAUCCAUGUCCUUAUGGAUCCCAGGGAUCUCAGGCUAGAGUGUUUCCUGAUCCGCAGGUUGAGCUUCCAGGUCAUGGAGGUAAUCUCUGUGAGAUGUUCUAUGCGGAUGCCUGAGCUGUGAGCGGAAGGAUAGGAUGGUAGUAGCCGUACGUUCACAGUCCUGCGUGACUUGUGAAGUAUGCUUGUGAUGUGAAAUGAAUUCCGGAGGCCUAGAUAAAUAAUGUAUAGGAAGCUUGUAAGCCUCUGAUGAGUAGUUUCAUAAUUUCAGUAGUUUGAUCUUCGGUUAAGGUUGUAUUGAACUAUGUAAGGGUGUGUAUGAACCAUGGUGUCUAUAUAGCAGUUGCUUGUUACCAUGUUGUUCGGUAUUCAUUUCCGCAUUCCGUGCGUCCAGUACAUUCUUAAUCCAUAGCUAGUAUUGAUAUGAUAUUGGUCUAAGCUGUGAGUUUGUUUGUCAGGAUGGUGUUCACCAGGUUGAACCGUGCCCCUGCUCAUGAGCAAGGCGAGGGUAGUCAAGCGUCGCAGGAAGACCUGCCUCACCCGCCUUUUCUGGUGGAAGUGAUGCUUGAGGCAGAGAGAAAUAAAAGGGAGACCAACCGACUGUUAGAGCGUAUUGAGCAGAAUACGGCUCGUCAGCCUAGGAGUGCUGCAGUGUCCCUUAAUGACUUUGUGAAGCUGAAUCCUCCAAAGUUUCAUCAUUCCGUCGAUCCCCUCGACGCUGAUGACUGGCUGUGCAGCAUCUCACGCAAGAUUCGCUCUGCGAAUGUGUCUGAGGCCGACAAGGUGACUAACGAGGCUUACAAGGAAAUGCCCCUUUGUGAUCCAACGAGCCUUGGUAGCUCGCUACUGCUCCAGACACAUUGGUUGACCGGCAUGUGUCCUUCUUAGCUGCUGUGUCUGUCCUCUUGGGGAAAUGUCACGCGAUGUAAUGGAGUCCUUGUAGCUUGCUACGACUCGUCUACACUCGCUGGUGACCGACACCUGCUUUGUUGGGUCAUGUAUGCUUGUCCUUGUGCGGUACUUCCACUUUGGUUUAUGACUAGACAUGUCGAUCCGGGUUCUUUGACAUUGGAAUGCUAGCGACACUAUUGCAUACGUGAGUCAAAAGACGCAAACGGUCCCGGCUAAGGUAAGGCUGCAGCCGUGGAGUUAACCGUGCGUGAGACCGCAAAGGGAUGCGAUGUGUUACAUGCUGGAUUCCUAUGGCUUAGGAUCGGGGUCCCGACAUGCAUCCACUUCCAUAAACCCAAAAGUUUUUCCAUGAGAGUCCACCAUACCUACCUAUUUGUGGUAUCUACCUGCCGUUCCAAGUAAAUUUGCAUGUGCCAUUCUCUAAACCUUCAAGCAAUAAUCUGUUUUGCAUGCCCGAACCGCUCAUGUGGUGACAGGGGACUAUUGGUAUCUUCCAUGUUAGGCGUGUUAUCCUCGGCAUGUGUUUAUUCACUGUCAUUCACGAUAAAGGGGCCGGUAAUUGGAAUGCCUAGUUCCACGCUUAAAUCGAAAACAUAACUGUAAAACAAGACUCCCCCGGAUUGAUGUUAGUAUGGACGGUACCCAAGGAUUCGGCUAGCCGUGGAGUGUGAUUGAUUGGUGGUGGGGGAGUUAAAACUUUACUUUUCUAUUUGGGACCGCCUAUAGCAUGAAUAGCAUGGAAGAUAUUGAGAACUCUUAGUCAUUGCGUUGACAAUGAAAGCAUGCCUCCCAAAAUCAUUAUCUCUGUUUUCAAAGCUUGAGCUCUGGCACCUCUCAAAUCAAUGCUUCCCUCUGCGAAGGGCCUGUCUAUUUAUUUUCCUGUUGAGUCAUCCUCUUCUUAUAUAAGCACCAAUUAGAGAGCACCUCUGUCAUUUUUAUGCUUUGCUUUUGAUUGAUUUUGAGUAUGACUAUGACUGGAUCUUCGUUGCUAUGAAUUACAAUGUUUAGUCAACCCUUGAUCUUUGAAAGUGCUCUGCAUUUAUGUUUUGCGGUCUCAGAAAGAGCUAGCGAGAUACCACCUAUUCAUAUUGCUUCAUGCUUGUUUUGAUUGAAUUGAUUGGUAUCUAAAACUCAUUAUUAUUUGCUCGCUAGCUGAUUAUGCCAUUGAUAUUAGUUUACCGUGAGACCUUUGUGUCACUUGCUUAUGUGGUUAACUUGUGAUCUUGCUGAAAUUCUGGUUAUGAGUUAGACAUAGUUGCAACAACAAGAUCAAACAGAGUUUGUCAAAGUUUUUNUUUUCUUUCUCUUUCAGUUUGUCAACUGAGUUGCUUGAGGACAAGCAAGGUUUUAAGCUUGGGGGAGUUGAUACGUCUCCNNNNNNNNNNNNNNNNNNNNNNNNNNNNNNNNNNNNNNNNNNNNNNNNNNNNNNNNNNNNNNNNNNNNNNNNNNNNNNNNNNNNNNNNNNNNNNNNNNNNCAACAGCCCCUACGACAGCGGUGCCUACAAGGGCAGCCGUGGGGCCCGUCUCGCGGCGAUUGGUACCGCGGUUCUCGUCGGUGCCAUUGCUGUGGGUUUCUGAUCACGAAGACGAAUCAAUGGCGAAAGCACGGCCAACAUAUGGAAUCGUGUUUCCUAAGGAGUUGUGAAGAUAUAUGAUAUAAUGCACCUACUACAGUAGUACUUGUUUUUUGCGAGACUACAGUAGUACUUGUUAAUUAUGUAAUUUGUGUACUACUACAAUUGUAUCAAAGUCAAUGCAAUUUGAUGAAAUUAAAUUGUAUCAUUUGACAUUUUGUUCUCUUGUCUAUUGAAGCCUUUGCUGCCAGCAAUUCCUCCACUACAGAACUUCGGAAAUGAUAAAAUUCCCAAUGUUCAGAUUUGUUCGCC
This 7800-nucleotide long non-coding RNA is filed under the name Hordeum vulgare. RNAcentral's name for it is "long non-coding RNA (HVUL_LNC002966)". The record is from RNAcentral. Lineage: Eukaryota; Viridiplantae; Streptophyta; Magnoliopsida; Poales; Poaceae.